RNAcentral lists this ribosomal RNA (246 nucleotides) under uncultured bacterium. Its description in RNAcentral is "partial 16S ribosomal RNA". It matches the Rfam family "Bacterial small subunit ribosomal RNA", at positions 523 to 769 of the family's 1533-position model. The record is from RNAcentral.
AUACGGAGGAUGCGAGCGUUAUCCGGAUUUAUUGGGUUUAAAGGGUGCGCAGGCGGCGCGCCAAGUCAGCGGUCAAAGUUCCGGGCUCAACCCGGUGUCGCCGUUGAAACUGGCGUGCUCGAGUGCGUGCGAGGAAGGCGGAAUGCGUUGUGUAGCGGUGAAAUGCAUAGAUAUGACGCAGAACUCCGAUUGCGAAGGCAGCUUUCCAGCGCGCUACUGACGCUGAGGCACGAAAGCGUGGGGAUC